UAUAUUAAAUAAAAAACUAUUUUUGGGGCCCUGUGCAAUGGAACCUGUCACACCCUUUAAAAACCGGCUCUGUCAAUAACAUAGGUGACUGCAUCAGCCCAAUAUGUCUUAAGCACAUAGCUACCAAUAGGAAGAGCAAGGGUAAUCUCAAAUAUGCCUAUUUUUUCGUUUGGCAACUCCAUUUUGCUGUGGGGUUUGAGGACACGUAGUUUCUUGAAGAAUGCCCUUUUCUGUAAAAAAAAAACUAAGAAAAAUCUUGUUUAAGAUACUCACCACCGUUGUCUAACCAAAGCACUUUAACAAGGAUUGAAUAUUGAGUAUUGACCAUGUGAUAUAAUUUUUUAAAGAUGUCAACCACAUCGCUUUUAUUUUUCACGAGUUACAACCAUGUUAUUCUAUUGCAAUUGUCAACAAAUGUUAGAAACCAACGCAGAUCAUGCUAAGUAGUAACCAGAGAUGGCCCCCACACAUCAUAAUGAAUUAACUCAAACGAAAUUGUUCUUUGAUUUAAACUUGGAGAAUAAGAAGCUUGAUGACCUUUAGCUAAUGUGCAAACAUUACACUUCAAUGAAGAAUUUGAAAUAUUACUAAAAGUAAUUUUCGUAAAUAACCAAAAGAGGCAUGAGCUAACCGACGAUGCCACAACUAAACGGUCUUAAACCUUUUAGUGUUACAACCUUGAACUUGAUGUACACUUCCUUAUACAACAUCAUCAACAUAGUACAACAUCCUUUGCUUAGUACCAUGCCUAAAUGAUUGCCUCAGUUCGGAUAUUUUGAAGUAAACAGUAAGACGGAAAUACAACAGAGUCUAAUUGCUCAAUGACAUGUCCCACAAAUAACAAAUGACUAGAGAGUGACGGAACAAGUAAGCCGUUGUUCUUGGACGAAAUCAAAUUCAAUGAAAGCUGCGGACCUAGAUUUUCUCGGUCCGAUUGUAUAUCAUCAUUGAGUAUUGCUGGUGGACUAAGCGGACCCAUGCCCAGUCUUCUACCAACGCCAUCAAUAAUGGCUGAAGAACCCAGCGGGCCCAUGCCCAGUCUGCUGACAAUAUUGGCACCAUCGCACCAGCCUUCAGUUUGCUUGGAGUGUGGGCUCCAGGCUCCGCAAGCCCAAAACAGCCCACGCUGUAUGUCAGCACAGCAAGCCCAAUGGUUGACCCCACGGCAGAAAUUGUUGCAUGGCUUUCUCCAUUGAAAAAGGAAACGGUGGUGUAGUUAUGCGGUUACGUUUCUAGGAUUAGGUUCAGGAUGAUCCUCUUGUUUCGAGAUCAUCUUCGGUUUUACUGAUGCGGUUACGUUUCUAGGAUUAGGUUCAGGAUGAUCCUCUUGUUUCGAGAUCAUCUUCGGUUUUACUGAUGCGGUUAGGUUCCUAGGAUUUAGGUUCAAGGUGAUUCUCUUGUUUCGAGAUCACCUUUGGUUUUACUGCAGGUUGCUGUUUUUCCAGCCAAUAAGAACUCAAAGUCGGCAACAAGGGUUAGGGUUUAGAGACACGUUGAAGUAAUUCUAGGGUUCCAAUAAUCUUCUAUAUAUUCUUCUCCAUCUUGGAGGUAAUAUAUAUACUCACAUCUCUUGUAGUACAAGUAGUAGUUAGUGACUCUAAUAAAUUUAGGGAAUAUAAUAAUAAUAAUAAUAUUCGUAAUCAAACUACUGACUCACACCAACAAUUUAUGCUUUUUAUUUGGGCUUUUAUUGGCCUUAUUCUUGUUGUGCCCGUCUUAGGCUUUAAGAGUUGAUCUUUCGUUCAAAAUAAAAAAGUACAUAGGUCAUCUUAUUCAACAGGACAUUAUAAAAUAUCAAUAUUCUAACAACAACCAAACCAACUCAUAAUGGCACUGGAUCGAUACAGAUUGAAGUAAUACUAUCUCUCGUCACCUUUCCCACACGUGUGAAUCCAUCUUCCCCUUUGUAAAGAAGAUCAGUUACUCUUGUUAAAUUGAGAACGCGCAUAAGAACAGACAUUGGCACAAAAGUUGGUCUAAG
This 1981-nucleotide long non-coding RNA is filed under the name Malus domestica (apple). Its description in RNAcentral is "long non-coding RNA (MDOM_LNC010821)". Lineage: Eukaryota; Viridiplantae; Streptophyta; Magnoliopsida; Rosales; Rosaceae. The record is from RNAcentral.